UAUUUGGACCUAGGUUCAGUUUGUUUGUCUACAUUCCAUUUAAAAGAACAAUGCAGAUAUUUGCGUAAACCGAUUUUGGGUUAAGACAAGUAACUAUGGAUAUGGGCAAACGUAAUGAUACGCUUGCAAGCUGAGUUUGAAUAAAACAUCCGAUUACCACUUCAUUUAGAAAUAUUAUUUAUUAGCUAUAAUAAAAAACUAUCAAAUCAUUGAUGGAUCACAAAAUAAUAUAAAUGCACGUUUCUCGUCUGUCCCGGCUAGCCAAUCGGCAUACGCGUCAUCACACUCCCUCAUCUGAUUGGUCGAGUAGGUGGAUCUUCUGACUUUGUGGCUGUUGUCACUAGGACGGCCACCUGAUUUUCUGUGCUUGUAUGAACAAUGCUCCGCGAGACCGUGGCGUGAACUGGAUGUACACGCUUGCGGAUAAAAAAAAAACAAAAAAACAUUUACUCGUUGGUUACUGACUCAUUGUGGAUAUUGAGCCAAAACUACCGGAUACUGUGAUUGACAGAGUCGAAAGCCUUGGCCAGGUCGAUGAAGACUGCUGCACAGUACUGUCUUUAAUCGAUGGCGGUUAUGAUAUCUCUGGAGAGACCUGAAAACAGAUGUCCAGUGAAGUUCCCCAUCCAACCUUAGAGCUUGUGAGGAUCUGCAGAAAAUAAUGGGAAACUCCCCAAAUACAGGUGUGCCAAGCUUGUAGCAGCAUAAAGAAGACUCGAGGCUGUAAUCUCUGCCAAAGGUGCUUCAACAAAGUACCGAGUAAAGGGACUGUGAUAUGGACUUGUGAGGAAUGAGAUGGCAAAACCUUAUGGAUGUCUUGUUGCAUUACAAAAGCAUUGAUGGCAGUUUGAAAAUCUUAGUGGACAAAACAGAAAAGGCCUUGGAGGACUUCCCCUGUCGUGUUUUGCCUAUAUUUACACCAUGGUUCCCACCUGAAAGUGACAAAUUAUUGCCAAUUAGACCCUUAAAGUCACCGCCGAUAAUUUCUCUGGAAGAUUUGGAAAAUAUCCAAACACAUCUGCAGUCUGCUGAGCCAUUACUAACAUCCCAUCCCUGUGCUGAAAGCAUUCAGAACUUGGCUCUAACCAGUUUGGGGAGAUCCACCUUGCAUGUACAGGCAUGCUCUGAGUUUGGAACAUCAGCACAGCAUAAAGAUACUCUCCAUAGUGAGAGGGAAGUGAAAGUGAAAAGAUCAUGGAGUGUUUUUUCACAGAGAGGUUUAUACAUUCACAACACUCAAACAUUCUCCAAACAAUUCCACAAGGUUGUUUGGAGGCACGGACUUCACAUGCGCCAGAGAGCAAAAUGGGUUAUUGACAAACUGAACUUUGUCACUGGAGACAUAGAACAUACAUGGAGAGGACUGAACCGGGCCAUCAGGAACUCCAUGCUUCCAACUUGCAAUGCCAACAUUCAGAGGGAUCUGACACAAAUCUGUGUGUUCUGCGAUGUAUUAUACUGUGAAUAUGUUGGAAAUUAUUUAAAGGAAGAAUUUCAAGUCACUGGACAGAUCACUUUAUUUGUUCAUAGACUUGGAGACAUUUUCACUUUAUAGAAAUUAGUGAUUGUCAGAAUUUGAUCUGUGUGUCACUGCCAUCUAUUUUGUUAACUGUAGUAGGCAGGUUUCCAUUGACUCAGGUGUAUUUGAUUUUAAAGCAAUGUCGCAAAAAGAAUGAGACAUGUGUAAUGGAAACAGCAGAUGGGAGACAUUUUUUAAAGAUCAACAACAUUUAUCUCCAUUUGACAGGGGUGGAUUAUUCUUCUGUCAAACUUUUGUUAUUGCGGAAAAUAAUGCUGGAAACUGUUUUUCGAAUAAAUGAUGAUUGCCAAAUCA
RNA transcript from Oncorhynchus kisutch (coho salmon), 1834 nucleotides. It is a transcript of the gene named shieldin complex subunit 3, with no coding region annotated. The record is from RefSeq and is a predicted model, not a curated record. The transcript has 3 exons. Lineage: Eukaryota; Metazoa; Chordata; Actinopteri; Salmoniformes; Salmonidae.